GGUCGGUGAUGUACUGGCAUGUAUUAGCUGACUGCACAGUUGAUGUGAGCUCUAAUGUGACACUGAGACCUU
This is a small nucleolar RNA of Otolemur garnettii (small-eared galago), 72 nucleotides long. The record is from Ensembl. Lineage: Eukaryota; Metazoa; Chordata; Mammalia; Primates; Galagidae.